RNAcentral lists this ribosomal RNA (623 nucleotides) under Pseudoalteromonas sp. RNAcentral's name for it is "bacterial SSU rRNA". It matches the Rfam family "Bacterial small subunit ribosomal RNA", at positions 51 to 670 of the family's 1533-position model. The record is from RNAcentral. Lineage: Bacteria; Pseudomonadati; Pseudomonadota; Gammaproteobacteria; Alteromonadales; Pseudoalteromonadaceae.
CNUUAUGCAGUCGAGCGGUAACAGAGAGUAGCUUGCUACUUUGCUGACGAGCGGCGGACGGGUGAGUAAUGCUUGGGAACAUGCCUUGAGGUGGGGGACAACAGUUGGAAACGACUGCUAAUACCGCAUAAUGUCUACGGACCAAAGGGGGCUUCGGCUCUCGCCUUUAGAUUGGCCCAAGUGGGAUUAGCUAGUUGGUGAGGUAAUGGCUCACCAAGGCGACGAUCCCUAGCUGGUUUGAGAGGAUGAUCAGCCACACUGGGACUGAGACACGGCCCAGACUCCUACGGGAGGCAGCAGUGGGGAAUAUUGCACAAUGGGCGCAAGCCUGAUGCAGCCAUGCCGCGUGUGUGAAGAAGGCCUUCGGGUUGUAAAGCACUUUCAGUCAGGAGGAAAGGUUAANNGUUAAUACCCGUUAGCUGUGACGUUACUGACAGAAGAAGCACCGGCUAACUCCGUGCCAGCAGCCGCGGUAAUACGGAGGGUGCGAGCGUUAAUCGGAAUUACUGGGCGUAAAGCGUACGCAGGCGGUUUGUUAAGCGAGAUGUGAAAGCCCCGGGCUCAACCUGGGAACUGCAUUUCGAACUGGCAAACUANAGUGUGAUANAGGGUGGUAAAAUUUC